This 465-nucleotide ribosomal RNA is filed under the name uncultured bacterium. Its description in RNAcentral is "partial 16S ribosomal RNA". It matches the Rfam family "Bacterial small subunit ribosomal RNA", at positions 28 to 507 of the family's 1533-position model. The record is from RNAcentral.
GACGAACGCUGGCGGCGUGCUUAACACAUGCAAGUCGAACGGAAAGGCCCUGCUUGCAGGGUGCUCGAGUGGCGAACGGGUGAGUAACACGUGGGUGAUCUGCCCUGCACUUCGGGAUAAGCCUGGGAAACUGGGUCUAAUACCGGAUAGGAGCCAUUUUUAGUGUGAUGGUUGGAAAGUUUUUUCGGUGUAGGAUGAGCUCGCGGCCUAUCAGCUUGUUGGUGGGGUAAUGGCCUACCAAGGCGGCGACGGGUAGCCGGCCUGAGAGGGUGGACGGCCACAUUGGGACUGAGAUACGGCCCAGACUCCUACGGGAGGCAGCAGUGGGGAAUAUUGCACAAUGGGCGCAAGCCUGAUGCAGCGACGCCGCGUGGGGGAUGACGGCCUUCGGGUUGUAAACUCCUUUCGCUAGGGACGAAGCUUUUUGUGACGGUACCUAGAGAAGAAGCACCGGCUAACUACGUG